This 301-nucleotide ribosomal RNA is filed under the name uncultured bacterium. Its description in RNAcentral is "partial 16S ribosomal RNA". It matches the Rfam family "Bacterial small subunit ribosomal RNA", at positions 509 to 808 of the family's 1533-position model. The record is from RNAcentral.
CAGCCGCCGCGGUAAGACGAACCGUGCGAACGUUAUUCGGAAUCAUUGGGCUUAAAGCGCGUGUAGGCGGAUGGGAACGUCGGUCGCUGAAAUACCCCGGCUCAACCGGGGAACUGGCAUCGAAACGACCCGUCUCGAGGGGCAUAGGGGGAGCUGGAACUUCCGGUGGAGCGGUGAAAUGCGUUGAGAUCGGAAGGAACGCCCGUGGCGAAAGCGAGCUCCUGGAUGUCUUCUGACGCUGAGACGCGAAAGCUAGGGUAGCGAACGGGAUUAGAUACCCCUGUAGUCCCUGUCUCUUAUA